RNAcentral lists this ribosomal RNA (443 nucleotides) under uncultured bacterium. Its description in RNAcentral is "partial 16S ribosomal RNA". It matches the Rfam family "Bacterial small subunit ribosomal RNA", at positions 338 to 795 of the family's 1533-position model. The record is from RNAcentral.
CCUACGGGUGGCAGCAGUGGGGGAUAUUGGACAAUGGGGGGAACCCUGAUCCAGCGACGCCGCGUGAGUGAAGAAGUAUCUCGGUAUGUAAAGCUCUGUUAGCAGGGAAGAAAGAAACGACGGUAUCCGACCAAGAAGCCCCGGCCAACUACGUGCCAGCCGCCGCGGUAAUACGUAGGGGGCAAGCGUCAUCCGGAAUUACUGGGGGCAAAGGGAGCGUAGACGGUUAAGUAAGUCUGGAGUUAAAGGCCGGGGCCCAACCCCGGGACUGCUGUGGAAACUCGUGAACUUGAGUGCGGGAGAGGUAAGCGGAAUGCCUAGUGUAGCGGUGAAAUGCGUAGAUAUUAGGAGGAACACCGGUGGCGAAGGCGGCUUACUGGACUGUAACUGACGUUGAGGCUCGAAAGCGUGGGGAGCAAACAGGAUUAGAUACCCCAGUAGUC